Molecule: small nucleolar RNA, 385 nt
Filed under: Oryzias javanicus (javanese ricefish)
Lineage: Eukaryota; Metazoa; Chordata; Actinopteri; Beloniformes; Adrianichthyidae
Description: Small Cajal body-specific RNA 2 (ENSOJAG00000016787.1)
Rfam family: Small Cajal body-specific RNA 2
Source: Rfam by way of RNAcentral
AAUUCCUUGGGGCAGUAGAUUUCAAACCGGAUCCGGAAGUACACAUUUUCGUAGUUUGUGUGGAGUGGGUGCGUGUGUGAGCGAGAGCGAUUGAUUGAGUGAAUGCUUGAUUGUGUGUGUGUUGUUUUUUAUGUGAUGUAAAAUCCUACACACUGAUCUUAUUUGAUCCGGUUAGAGUUUGGCUCUGCUCCGGCUGGAGAUGAUAGGAAAAGCGCUCGCGAGCCCCCGCGGCCAUGAGACGUCGGCGACGAAAAGCUAAAGAGCUACCACGCUUCGUGCUGUGGUCAGAGAUGAUGAAUUGAUCAGAUAUACUAGUUCUUUGGGAGCUUGUGGUUCGCCUCAGGUUUCACACUGGACGAUGAGUACAGAAGCGAUUCUGAUCUAA